RNAcentral lists this transfer RNA (74 nucleotides) under Sphaerodactylus townsendi. RNAcentral's name for it is "tRNA-Thr". Lineage: Eukaryota; Metazoa; Chordata; Lepidosauria; Squamata; Sphaerodactylidae. The record is from RNAcentral.
GACAGCUGUGGCUCAGGGGUAAGAGCAUCUGCUUGGUAUAUAAAAGGUCCCAUGUUCAAUCCCGGGCAUCGUCA